This 430-nucleotide ribosomal RNA is filed under the name uncultured bacterium. RNAcentral's name for it is "bacterial SSU rRNA". It matches the Rfam family "Bacterial small subunit ribosomal RNA", at positions 355 to 786 of the family's 1533-position model. The record is from RNAcentral.
UGAGGAAUAUUGGUCAAUGGGCGGGAGCCUGAACCAGCCAAGUCGCGUGAGGGAAGACGGUCUUACGGAUUGUAAACCUCUUUUGCCGGGGAGCAAAGGGCGCCACGCGUGGCGUUUCGAGAGUACCCGGGAAAGAAAGCGCGAUAUCCGUGCCAGCAGCCGCGGUAAUACGGAGGAUGCGAGCGUUAUCCGGAUUUAUUGGGUUUAAAGGGUGCGUAGGCGGGCCGGUAAGUCAGCGGUAAAAUAGCGGGGCUCAACCCCGUCGAGCCGUUGAAACUGCCGGUCUUGAGUGGGCGAGAAGUGCGCGGAAUGCGUGGUGUAGCGGUGAAAUGCAUAGAUAUCACGCAGAACCCCGAUUGCGAAGGCAGCGCACCGGCGCCCUACUGACGCUGAAGCACGAAAGCGUGGGGAUCGAACAGGAUUAGAUACC